CAGGCCUAACACAUGCAAGUCGAACGGUAACAUGAGGUGCUUGCACCUUGAUGACGAGUGGCGCACGGGUGCGUAACGCGUAUACAAUCUGCCUCUUACAGGAGUAUAGCCUUUAGAAAUGAAGAAUAAUCCUCCAUAGUAUUUUAGAUUGGCAUCAAUUUAAGAUUAAAGAUUUAUCGGUAAGAGAUGAGUAUGCGUUCUAUUAGCUAGAUGGUGUGGUAACGGCACACCAUGGCAACGAUAGAUAGGGGCCCUGAGAGGGGGAUCCCCCACACUGGUACUGAGACACGGACCAGACUCCUACGGGAGGCAGCAGUGAGGAAUAUUGGACAAUGGGCGCGAGCCUGAUCCAGCCAUGCCGCGUGCAGGAAGACUGCCCUACGGGUUGUAAACUGCUUUUAUAUAGGAAGAAACCCAUCUACGUGUAGAUGGCUGACGGUACUAUAAGAAUAAGGAUCGGCUAACUCCGUGCCAGCAGCCGCGGUAAUACGGAGGAUCCAAGCGUUAUCCGGAAUCAUUGGGUUUAAAGGGUCCGUAGGUGGACUGAUCAGUCAGAGGUGAAAUCCUGCAGCUCAACUGUAGAACUGCCUUUGAUACUGUCAGUCUUGAAUUAUGGUGAAGUAGUUAGAAUAUGUAGUGUAGCGGUGAA
RNAcentral lists this ribosomal RNA (649 nucleotides) under uncultured bacterium. Its description in RNAcentral is "bacterial SSU rRNA". It matches the Rfam family "Bacterial small subunit ribosomal RNA", at positions 43 to 685 of the family's 1533-position model. The record is from RNAcentral.